Molecule: ribosomal RNA, 460 nt
Filed under: Streptococcus mutans
Lineage: Bacteria; Bacillati; Bacillota; Bacilli; Lactobacillales; Streptococcaceae
Description: bacterial SSU rRNA
Rfam family: Bacterial small subunit ribosomal RNA
Source: RNAcentral
GACGAACGCUGGCGGCGUGCCUAAUACAUGCAAGUGGGACGCAAGGAAACACACUGUGCUUGCACACCGUGUUUUCUUGAGUCGCGAACGGGUGAGUAACGCGUAGGUAACCUGCCUAUUAGCGGGGGAUAACUAUUGGAAACGAUAGCUAAUACCGCAUAAUAUUAAUUAUUGCAUGAUAAUUGAUUGAAAGAUGCAAGCGCAUCACUAGUAGAUGGACCUGCGUUGUAUUAGCUAGUUGGUAAGGUAAGAGCUUACCAAGGCGACGAUACAUAGCCGACCUGAGAGGGUGAUCGGCCACACUGGGACUGAGACACGGCCCAGACUCCUACGGGAGGCAGCAGUAGGGAAUCUUCGGCAAUGGACGAAAGUCUGACCGAGCAACGCCGCGUGAGUGAAGAAGGUUUUCGGAUCGUAAAGCUCUGUUGUAAGUCAAGAACGUGUGUGAGAGUGGAAAGUC